AUGCGUGCGGGAAUCGCCAGUGGAAUGGGAGAAGAGGUGGGUCGGGGCAUGACCGGCGGAGGUCUGCUUGUAGACGGGGCACAUGCCCUUGUUUUUGUGGCUUGCAUCCGGGCAGCACUUCAGGUCUUCAGCCAUUGCCUCGUACUACGGUUAGCAGAUUUUGACGGCAGCGGCGACAUCAAGAGGAGAGCGACUAUUCUUUUAGUGGAUCUGGAAGAGGAAGAGUCCGGGGCGGAUACGAAGGAGAAGGGGCUUGGAGGGUCGCGAGACGAACUCAAGGCUUGCAUGGCCGAUCUUGUGCGGCUCGGGGAAACGACAGGCGAUGGAGGCAGCUCGUCCGCGUGGACGUGGCCGGCAGCGGAGCAGGCGGGGCAUGAAGGACGGAUCCAUCUCGGAGUGGCGCGACGGCUGGGCAAAUCAGGAUCCGGCGCCGAGCCCCUGAUCCAUGUCGUCCUUGAAGAGAGAGAGAGAGAGAGAGAGAGAGGAGAGGGGGAUGAGCUCCGACGAGAUAAGUAA
RNAcentral lists this ribosomal RNA (516 nucleotides) under Triticum aestivum (bread wheat). RNAcentral's name for it is "partial small subunit ribosomal RNA". Lineage: Eukaryota; Viridiplantae; Streptophyta; Magnoliopsida; Poales; Poaceae. The record is from RNAcentral.